UACGGAGGGUGCAAGCGUUAUCCGGAUUCACUGGGUUUAAAGGGUGCGUAGGCGGGCAGUUAAGUCAGUGGUGAAAUCCUUGAGCUCAACUCGAGAACUGCCAUUGAUACUAUCUGUCUUGAAUAUUGUGGAGGUAAGCGGAAUAUGUCAUGUAGCGGUGAAAUGCUUAGAUAUGACAUAGAACACCUAUUGCGAAGGCAGCUAACUACGCGAAUAUUGACGCUGAGGCACGAAAGCGUGGGGAUCAAACAGG
Molecule: ribosomal RNA, 253 nt
Filed under: uncultured bacterium
Lineage: Bacteria
Description: partial 16S ribosomal RNA
Rfam family: Bacterial small subunit ribosomal RNA
Source: RNAcentral